Molecule: long non-coding RNA, 1367 nt
Organism: Ruditapes philippinarum (Manila clam)
Lineage: Eukaryota; Metazoa; Mollusca; Bivalvia; Venerida; Veneridae
Exons: 3
Source: RefSeq, a predicted model, not a curated record
UUGCUGUCAUCAAACUUUAACCUUGUUCAUAACUUUUUCAGAUCUUGGUGUAUUGUCUUCAUACUUGGCCACAACAACCCAUCAAAUAGACCAGACUAAACUAAAUUAACUUGACCACCAUAUUAACAUUCAAGAAGUUCGGCCUACAUGUCAGAUUUAUGAAUGUGAACAGCAGGAUAUCGAUUUUAAGGAUGCUUUAGGGUCAAUGACAAUGAAAUCACGAGAGAUAAAGGCUAAAAUGUGAGACUGUCAAUCUGACUAACCUUGAAGUGAACAAAUGGAAAAAAUGUUUCUUUCAAUAGCAUGGGCUUUUAAGGAAGAGGAAACAGAGGCGCUUAUAUGAUAGAACAGUAAAAGCAGGAGUGAUAAGGAAAGAUACAUGUAGAUGUGUCUUCAUGUCGGAAACACUAAAGAAAUAGAAAUAUUGUGGUUUUAUAAAACUUAAAAGAAAUUGGAAUACCAGGAGACUGCCUGCCCUUUGCAAUGUUGGAUAAUGAGUUCUUAGAUGUGAUGUCGAAAGCCUCAUGAAUAUAGUACCAUGACUUAAUCUAAUUAGAAAAAGAAAUGACAUUGAGGAGAAAACUAGUCACCAGUCUUUCACCAAGAACUAGAGAUAACUUUCCAAUAUUUGAAAUAUCAUAAUAUGUAUAGAACUUUAUUGAGCCACCAGUUUUUCACCAGGAAAAUAAGAUCACUUAACUAUUUUUAGCUCACCUGUCACAAAGUGACAGGGUGAGCUUUUUUGAUGGCUUUUCGUCUGGCGUCCACUUUAAAUGACAUCUCCUCAUAAACCACUAAGCCAAUUUCAUCCAAACUUCACAGGAAUGUUUCUUUGGUGGUCACCUCUAAAUAUUGUUCAUAGAAUGCUGGUUGCCAAGGCAACCAAAAGAAAAAAAAUUAAAGUAUCUUCUUUUAAAGAACCCAAAGAGCUAGAGCUUAGACAAAGUAUCUUCUUUUAAAGGUAUGAAACAUCUUCUAGUGAGUGUCUACCAAGUUUGUUCAAAUAAAAGCCCUGGGGGUCAAAAUUGGCCCCGCCCCAGGGGGUCAUUGAAUUUCCAUAUAUGCAUAUAGUAAAAACUUAAAAAUCUUCUUUUAAAGAACCAAAAUAGCUAGAGUUUAGAUAUUAAGCAUGAAACAUGUUCUGGUAAGUGUGUACAAGGUUUGUUCAAAUAAAAGCCCUGGGGUCAAAACUGGCCCCGCCCCAGGGGUUUCAUUGUUUUUAACUAUUUGUGUGAUGGCGGCAUGGCCGAGUGGUUAACGCGUCGGACAAGUAAUCUAAGGAUUGCUGACCGCGUGGGUUCAAACCCUGUCAGGGGCAGCGGUUGUUUCCUUGAGCAAGAGACUUUACAUUCAUUACUGGUUGGUUC